CCUACGGGAGGCAGCAGUCGAGAAUCAUUCACAAUGGGGGAAACCCUGAUGGUGCGACGCCGCGUGGGGGAAUGAAGGUCUUCGGAUUGUAAACCCCUGUCAUGUGGGACCAAAUUAAAAAGAUCGUACCACAAGAGGCAGAGACGGCUAACUCUGUGCCAGCAGCCGCGGUAAUACAGAGGUCUCAAGCGUUGUUCGGAAUCACUGGGCGUAAAGCGUGCGUAGGCUGUUUCGUAAGUCGUGUGUGAAAGGCGCGGGCUCAACCCGCGGACGGCACAUGAUACUGGGAGACUAGAGUAAGGGAGGGGGAACCGGAAUUCUCGGUGUAGCAGUGAAAUGCGUAGAUAUCGAGAGGAACACUCGUGGCGAAGGCGGGUUCCUGGACAUUAACUGACGCUGAGGCACGAAGGCCAGGGGAGCGAAAGGGAUUAGAUACCCGUGUAGUC
Molecule: ribosomal RNA, 446 nt
Filed under: uncultured bacterium
Lineage: Bacteria
Description: partial 16S ribosomal RNA
Rfam family: Bacterial small subunit ribosomal RNA
Source: RNAcentral